RNAcentral lists this ribosomal RNA (468 nucleotides) under uncultured bacterium. Its description in RNAcentral is "partial 16S ribosomal RNA". It matches the Rfam family "Bacterial small subunit ribosomal RNA", at positions 28 to 507 of the family's 1533-position model. The record is from RNAcentral.
GAUGAACGCUGGCGGCGUGCUUAACACAUGCAAGUCGAACGGAAAGGCCCAAGCUUGCUAGGGUACUCGAGUGGCGAACGGGUGAGUAACACGUGGGUGAUCUGCCCUGCACUUCGGGAUAAGCCUGGGAAACUGGGUCUAAUACCGGAUAGGACGAUGGUUUGGAUGCCAUUGUGGAAAGUUUUUUCGGUGUGGGAUGAGCUCGCGGCCUAUCAGCUUGUUGGUGGGGUAAUGGCCUACCAAGGCGUCGACGGGUAGCCGGCCUGAGAGGGUGUACGGCCACAUUGGGACUGAGAUACGGCCCAGACUCCUACGGGAGGCAGCAGUGGGGAAUAUUGCACAAUGGGCGCAAGCCUGAUGCAGCGACGCCGCGUGGGGGAUGACGGCCUUCGGGUUGUAAACUCCUUUCGCUAGGGACGAAGCGUUUUUGUGACGGUACCUGGAGAAGAAGCACCGGCUAACUACGUG